This 1243-nucleotide ribosomal RNA is filed under the name metagenome. Its description in RNAcentral is "bacterial LSU rRNA". It matches the Rfam family "Bacterial large subunit ribosomal RNA", at positions 1564 to 2818 of the family's 2925-position model. The record is from RNAcentral.
UGAAUACGAGAUGCUACGGCGUCGAAGCAGUCUAUGUCAUACUUCCAAGAAAAGCUUGCACUGUCAUAAACAAAUAAUGCCUGUACCAUAACCGACACAGGUGGGUAGGUAGAGUAUACUAAGGGGCGCGAGAUAACUCUCUCUAAGGAACUCGGCAAAUGACUCCGUAACUUCGGGAGAAGGAGUGCCUUAUUUAUAAGGUUGCAAUAACAAGAUCCAAGCAACUGUUUACCAAAAACACAGGUCUCCGCUAAGUCGUAAGACGAUGUAUGGGGGCUGACGCCUGCCCAGUGCCAGAAGGUUAAAGAAGUUGGUUAGCAUCCGCGAAGCUGAUAACUGAAGCCCUGGUGAACGGCGGCCGUAACGAUAACGGUCCUAAGGUAGCGAAAUUCCUUGUCGGGUAAGUUCCGACCCGCACGAAAGGCGUAAUGAUUUGGAUACUGUCUCGGAGAGGGGCUCGGUGAAAUAGACUUGUCUGUGAAGAUGCGGACUACCUGCACCAGGACAGAAAGACCCUAUGAAGCUUUACUGUAACCUGAAAUUGAAAUUGGACUUUACUUGCGCAGUAUAGGUGGGAGGCGUUGAGAAUAUUCUUGCGGGAUUAUUGGAGCCAUCAGUGAGAUACCACUCUUGUAAUGUUAGAUUUCUAACUUUGUAUCAUUAUCUGGUCAAAGAACAGUUUCAGGCGGGCAGUUUGACUGGGGCGGUCGCCUCCUAAACGGUAACGGAGGCGCACAAAGGUUUCCUCUGAACGGGUAGAAAUCGUAUCUAGAGUGUAAAGGCAUAAGGAAGCUUGACUGUGAGACCUACAAGUCGAGCAGGGACGAAAGUCGGUCUUAGUGAUCUGACGGUGCUGAGUGGAAAGGCCGUCACUCAACGGAUAAAAGUUACUCUAGGAUAACAGGCUGAUCUCCCCCAAGAGUUCACAUCGACGGGGAGGUUUGGCACCUCGAUGUCGGCUCAUCGCAUCCUGGGGCGGUAGUACGUCCCAAGGGUUGGGCUGUUCGCCCAUGAAAGCGGUACGCGAGCUGGGUUCAGAACGUCGUGAGACAGUUCGGUCCAUAUCCGGUGUAGGCGUUAGAAUAUUGAGAGGAGCCUUCUUUAGUACGAGAGGACCGAGAAGGACAUACCUCUGGUGUACCAGUUAUCGUGCCAACGGUAAACGCUGGGUAGCUAUGUGUGGAGUGGAUAACCGCUGAAAGCAUCUAAGUGGGAAGCCCACCUCAAGAUAAGUAUUCUCAAG